RNAcentral lists this ribosomal RNA (758 nucleotides) under uncultured Acidobacteriaceae bacterium. RNAcentral describes it as "bacterial SSU rRNA". It matches the Rfam family "Bacterial small subunit ribosomal RNA", at positions 56 to 814 of the family's 1533-position model. Lineage: Bacteria; Pseudomonadati; Acidobacteriota; Terriglobia; Terriglobales; Acidobacteriaceae. The record is from RNAcentral.
UGCAAGUUGAGCGAGGCCGGUAGCAAUACCGAGUCGAGCGGCGAACGGGUGAGUAACGCGUGGAUAACCUGCCCUUUAGUGGGGAAUAACCCGGGGAAACUCGGGCUGAUACCGCAUAAGACCGAGAGGUGAAAGCGGGGUCGCAAGAUCUCGUGCUAAUGGAGGGGUCCGCGUUCGAUUAGCUAGUUGGUAGGGUAAUGGCCUACCAAGGCGACGAUCGAUAGCCGGCCUGAGAGGGUGAUCGGCCACACUGGAACUGAGACACGGUCCAGACUCCUACGGGAGGCAGCAGUGGGGAAUUUUGCGCAAUGGGCUAACGCCUGACGCAGCAACGCCGCGUGGAGGAUGAAGGUCUUUGGAUUGUAAACUCCUGUCAGCAGGGAAAAAGGGAGGGGACCUAAUACGUCCUUGACUUGAUUGUACCUGCAGAGGAAGCCCCGGCUAACUCUGUGCCAGCAGCCGCGGUAAUACAGAGGGGGCAAGCGUUAUUCGGAAUUAUUGGGCGUAAAGGGCGCGUAGGCGGCUUUUCAAGUGACGGGUGAAUCCCUCGGCUUAACCGAGGAACUGCCUGUCAGACUGGAAGGCUUGAGACCGGGAGAGGUGAGUGGAAUUCCCAGUGUAGCGGUGAAAUGCGUAGAUAUUGGGAGGAACACCAGUGGCGAAGGCGGCUCACUGGACCGGAACUGACGCUGAGGCGCGAAAGCGUGGGGAGCAAACAGGAUUAGAUACCCUGGUAGUCCACGCCCUAAACGAUGUCA